GGCGAAAGCCUGAUCCAGCCAUCCCGCGUGCAGGAUGACGGCCCUAUGGGUUGUAAACUGCUUUUAUAUAGGACGAAACGCUUCCAUUUAUGGGAGCCUGACGGUACUAUACGAAUAAGCACCGGCUAAUUCCGUGCCAGCAGCCGCGGUAAUACGGAAGGUGCAAGCGUUAUCCGGAAUCACUGGGUUUAAAGGGUGCGUAGGCUGUUAGAUAAGUCAGAGGUGAAAGCUCAUCGCUUAACGAUGGAACUGCCUUUGAUACUGUUUAACUUGAAUUAGGUUGAGGUUAGCGGAAUGAGUCAUGUAGCGGUGAAAUGCAUAGAUAUGACUUAGAACACCAAUUGCGAAGGCAGCUGGCUAGACCUAUAUUGACGCUGAGGCACGAAAGCGUGGGGAGCGAACAGGAUUAGAUACCCUGGUAGUCCACGCCCUAAACGAUGCUUACUCGCUGUUUGGGAUUUAUUCUUGAGCGGCUAAGGGAAACCGUUAAGUAAGCCACCUGGGGAGUACGCUCGCAAGAGUGAAACUCAAAUGAAUUGACGGGG
Molecule: ribosomal RNA, 545 nt
Filed under: uncultured Bacteroidota bacterium
Lineage: Bacteria; Pseudomonadati; Bacteroidota
Description: bacterial SSU rRNA
Rfam family: Bacterial small subunit ribosomal RNA
Source: RNAcentral